Molecule: ribosomal RNA, 497 nt
Filed under: uncultured bacterium
Lineage: Bacteria
Description: partial 16S ribosomal RNA
Rfam family: Bacterial small subunit ribosomal RNA
Source: RNAcentral
GAUGAACGCUGGCGGCGUGCCUAAUACAUGCAAGUCGAGCGAACAGGCAAGGACUUUGCCUCCUUGACGUUAGCGGCAGACGUGAGUAUCACAUGUGGAUAACCCACCUUUAAGACUGGGAUAACUUCGAGAAACUGGAGCAUAUACCGGAUCAUAUAUUGAACCGCUAGGUCCAUUAGUGAAAGACAGCUUUUCUGUUACCAAAUGAAGCUUCUUCGCCGUAUUAGCUAGUUGGUAAGGCAACGGCCUACCAAGGCAAUGGUUCGUAGCCGACCUGGGAGGGAGGUCGGCCACACGGGAACUGAGACACGGUCCAAACUCCACCGGAAGCCGCCGGAAGGAAACCUUCCGCAAUGGGCGAAGGCCUGACGGAGCAACACCGCGUAAGUGAUGAAGGUCUUCGGAUCGAAAAACUCUGUUAUAAGGGAGGAACAAAUGUGUAAGUAACAAUGCACAUUUUGACGGUACCUAAUCAGAAAGCCACGGCUAACUACGUG